GUGUUUACUGUACCUUAGUUGCUUCGGCGGGCCCGCCAUUCAUGGCCGCCGGGGGCUCUCAGCCCCGGGCCCGCGCCCGCCGGAGACACCACGAACUCUGUCUGAUCUAGUGAAGUCUGAGUUGAUUGUAUCGCAAUCAGUUAAAACUUUCAACAAUGGAUCUCUUGGUUCCGGCAUCGAUGAAGAACGCAGCGAAAUGCGAUAACUAGUGUGAAUUGCAGAAUUCCGUGAAUCAUCGAGUCUUUGAACGCACAUUGCGCCCCCUGGUAUUCCGGGGGGCAUGCCUGUCCGAGCGUCAUUGCUGCCCAUCAAGCACGGCUUGUGUGUUGGGUCGUCGUCCCCUCUCCGGGGGGGACGGGCCCCAAAGGCAGCGGCGGCACCGCGUCCGAUCCUCGAGCGUAUGGGGCUUUGUCACCCGCUCUGUAGGCCCGGCCGGCGCUUGCCGAACGCAAAUCAAUCUUUUUCCAGGUUGACCUCGGAUCAGGUAGGGAUACCCGCUGAACUUAAGCAUAUCAAUAA
Molecule: ribosomal RNA, 519 nt
Filed under: Aspergillus flavus
Lineage: Eukaryota; Fungi; Ascomycota; Eurotiomycetes; Eurotiales; Aspergillaceae
Also listed under: 1 other name
Description: eukaryotic LSU rRNA
Rfam family: 5.8S ribosomal RNA (bases 145-298)
Source: RNAcentral